CAAAGUUUGCACCGCCCUGCCCGUUCGACCGAAUUCUUCCGGGUUGAUCCUGGCAGAGGGUUACUGCUAUCGAGAUUUCGACUAAGCCAUGCGAGUUGAAUGUUCUUCGUGAACAUGGCGGACUGCUCAGUAACACGUGGACAACCUACCCUUGGGUCUGGCAUAAUCCUGGGAAACUGGGGAUAAUUCCGGAUAGGCCACAGAUGCUGGAAUGCGCUGUGGCCGAAAGCUCCGGCGCCCAAGGAUGGGUCUGCGGCCUAUCAGGGUUGUAGUGGGUGUAAUGUACCUACUAGCCUACGACGGGUACGGGUUGUGAGAGCAAGAGCCCGGAGAUGGAUUCUGAGACACGAAUCCAGGCCCUACGGGGUGCAGCAGGCGCGAAAACUUUACAAUGCGGGAAACCGUGAUAAGGGAAUCUCGAGUGCCAGCAUAUAAUGUUGGCUGUCCAGAUGCCUAAAAAGCAUCUGUUAGCAAGGGCCGGGCAAGACCGGUGCCAGCCGCCGCGGUAACACCGGCGGCCCGAGUGGUAACCGCUUUUAUUGGGUCUAAAGGGUCUGUAGCCGGCCAAGUAAGUCCCUUGGGAAAUCUGGCAGCUUAACUGUCAGGCUGCUAGGGGAUACUGCUGGGCUUGGGACCGGGAGAGGUGAGAGGUACCUUGGGGGUAGGGGUGAAAUCUUGUGAUCCUCGGGGGACCACCAGUGGCGAAGGCGUCUCACCAGAACGGGUCCGACGGUAAGGGACGAAAGCUAGGGGCACGAACCGGAUUAGAUACCCGGGUAGUCCUAGCCGUAAACGAUGCUCGCUAGGUGUCAGUCACGGUGCGACCGUGAUUGGUGCCGUAGGGAAGCCGUGAAGCGAGCCACCUGGGAAGUAUGGCCGCAAGGCUGAAACUUAAAGGAAUGGGCGGGGGGGCAC
This 915-nucleotide ribosomal RNA is filed under the name uncultured archaeon. RNAcentral describes it as "bacterial SSU rRNA". It matches the Rfam family "Archaeal small subunit ribosomal RNA", at positions 1 to 879 of the family's 1478-position model. The record is from RNAcentral.